Molecule: ribosomal RNA, 433 nt
Filed under: uncultured bacterium
Lineage: Bacteria
Description: partial 16S ribosomal RNA
Rfam family: Bacterial small subunit ribosomal RNA
Source: RNAcentral
AACGAACGCUGGCGGCAGGCCUAACACAUGCAAGUCGAGCGGACCCUUCGGGGUUAGCGGCGGACGGGUGAGUAACGCGUGGGAAUAUGCCCUUCUCUACGGAAUAGUCCUGGGAAACUGGGGGUAAUACCGUAUACGCCCUUUGGGGGAAAGAUUUAUCGGGGAAGGAUUAGCCCGCGUUGGAUUAGGUAGUUGGUGGGGUAAUGGCCUACCAAGCCGACGAUCCAUAGCUGGUUUGAGAGGAGGAUCAGCCACACUGGGACUGAGACACGGCCCAGACUCCUACGGGAGGCAGCAGUGGGGAAUCUUAGACAAUGGGGGCAACCCUGAUCUAGCCAUGCCGCGUGAGUGAUGAAGGCCUUAGGGUUGUAAAGCUCUUUCAGCUGGGAAGAUAAUGACGGUACCAGCAGAAGAAGCCCCGGCUAACUCCGUG